CCUACGGGUGGCAGCAGUGAGGAAUAUUGGUCAAUGGGCGGAAGCCUGAACCAGCCAAGUAGCGUGCAGGAUGAAGGCCCUACGGGUUGUAAACUGCUUUUAUACGGGAAUAACGCGCCUUACGUGUAGGGCUUUGCAUGUACCGUAUGAAUAAGGACCGGCUAAUUCCGUGCCAGCAGCCGCGGUAAUACGGAAGGUCCGGGCCUUAUCCGGAUUUAUUGGGUUUAAAGGGAGCGUAGGCCGGAUGUCAAGCGUGCUGUGAAAUGUCCGGGCUCAACCCGGGCCUUGCAGCGCAAACUGGCGUGCUUGAGUCCGCGAGAGGCAGGCGGAAUUCGUGGUGUAGCGGUGAAAUGCUUAGAUAUGACGAGGAACCCCGAUUGCGAAGGCAGCUUGCGGGAGCGGAACUGACGCUGAUGCUCGAAAGCGCGGGUAUCGAACAGGAUUAGAUACCCUGGUAGUC
Molecule: ribosomal RNA, 460 nt
Filed under: uncultured bacterium
Lineage: Bacteria
Description: partial 16S ribosomal RNA
Rfam family: Bacterial small subunit ribosomal RNA
Source: RNAcentral